AACGAACGCUGGCGGCAUGCCUAACACAUGCAAGUCGAACGAGACCUUCGGGUCUAGUGGCGCACGGGUGCGUAACGCGUGGGAACCUGCCUUUAGGUUCGGAAUAACUCAGAGAAAUUUGAGCUAAUACCGGAUAAAUGUCUUCGGACCAAAGAUUUAUCGCCUUUAGAUGGGCCCGCGUUGGAUUAGCUAGUUGGUGGGGUAAAGCCUACCAAGGCGACGAUCCAUAGCUGGUCUGAGAGGAUGAUCAGCCACACUGGGACUGAGACACGGCCCAGACUCCUACGGGAGCAGCAGUGGGGAAUAUUGGACAAUGGGCGAAAGCCUGAUCCAGCAAUGCCGCGUGAGUGAUGAAGGCUUAGGUGUAAGCUCUUUACCCGAGAUGAUAAUGACAGUAUCGGAGAAUAAGAC
RNAcentral lists this ribosomal RNA (411 nucleotides) under uncultured bacterium. RNAcentral's name for it is "bacterial SSU rRNA". It matches the Rfam family "Bacterial small subunit ribosomal RNA", at positions 29 to 492 of the family's 1533-position model. The record is from RNAcentral.